This 38-nucleotide ribosomal RNA is filed under the name Cladomniopsis crenato-obtusa. RNAcentral describes it as "25S ribosomal RNA". RNAcentral also lists the same sequence under 1 other name. Lineage: Eukaryota; Viridiplantae; Streptophyta; Bryopsida; Ptychomniales; Ptychomniaceae. The record is from RNAcentral.
CAGACCUCUAAUCGGAAAAGACCACGCGCUGAGUUUAA